RNAcentral lists this non-coding RNA (109 nucleotides) under uncultured eukaryote. The record is from RNAcentral.
UUUUUUUUUCGUUUUUUUUUUCUAUUACCCAAGCGGAGUUUAUGUUAAAAUUUCCCGAAAAUACGCCGAGAGAAUACCAAAAAGGCUGCACAAAAAGGCAAAAAUCAAU